Apis dorsata (giant honeybee) is the source of this 1448-nucleotide long non-coding RNA. RefSeq lists it as uncharacterized. The record is from RefSeq and is a predicted model, not a curated record. The transcript has 3 exons. Lineage: Eukaryota; Metazoa; Arthropoda; Insecta; Hymenoptera; Apidae.
AUCGAUACAAAACUAAUUUUAUUUUGUUUUUUAUAUAUAUGCCAUCUUUGAUGCAAUAUUUUUUUACUAGGUUAUGAAUUAAACAAAGUUAAAGUCUUAAAAUAUAGAAAGAGUGCGACAACUAUUUCUGGAACUGGCGAAAGCUUUCGAGGGAUUUCCAAGUUGCUCCAGAUUGCACUGUGCUCCAGCUUUUUUGCAAUUGUAUCCUGAAUCAAAGGAUCAGAAUCGCGAAGUUAAACGUAUCAAUGGAUUGUCUGUGUUUGUUAAAGAAAUAGAACCGAAAUUCGAGCACAAAGAAAUUUCACAAAAUAAAACUGAUAAAUCCAGUGAAUACAAAAAUUGGUGCAAAUAUAUUUGGAGUUCCACCAAAAGAAAACGCGUUCGUUCAGGACCUAUCUUCUCCAAGGAAGGAAAUAAAGUUAUAUUUAAUUUUCGACAUUUCGUGAAACCCGAGAAAAUCAUCGACGAAUACACUCGUGUCAACAUUUACAACAAGUAAGAUUCGAUAUUUUAACUGAAAUAUGUAAAAAUUAGAAAAAGAUAAAGAAAGAAAAAUAUUACGAUAAGAUUAAUUCAAGCUUUUCUUUGUAAUGCCGAACAAAAGCGAAUGCAUUAAGCGAAAAAUACGUCUAUGAUGUUAGUACGAGAACAAUGGAAAUUGAAGUUUUGCAAAAAUGAAGUGUUGCACGAAACGGUGAUGGGUUUUUCGAAAAGACUGAUUUAUGGAAUUUCACAGGCCGCGUUUUGUCAAAAUUAACAAGAAAGAAUCACCGAACUCUACGCCGAAUGUUCAUGAGAAACAAGUUUCAUCGGAUGUGAGUCUUCGUUACAAACCAAAAGAAAAGAUACGAACCAAAACCGAUGCUUCCGAAGAAAAGAUAUCUGGAUGGAGGUUAAAUAAAGUUAGAUAUGUUAUAUUGAUUUCAGUAUAAUUGUUCCCAAGAAUAUUUUUCAUUUUCAAUUAUAUUUUUAUACUGAAUAAAUACUGGCACCUGUCAUUGUACUUUAAAUAACUUACUUGGAAUUAUUAAUACGUUGGAAAAUAUUGAUAGCCUGUAGAAACUGUCUCAAAGAAAACAAAAAGAAUCCCGAAGAGGGUUCCAGCAACACAUAAUUUCGUAUACGAGUUCAAUCCAUUUGGAAAUUCCAUAUCAAUUUCUAAUAAUGCAACGACAACAAAAGGAGCACGAAAUCCAUCUAAUAUCGCACAAGGAGAUUUAUCUAUGAAACUUAUAAAUGAUAAGCAAAGUUUCAAUAAUAUUCAGACACACGCAGUGUUACCAAAAUUACAUCCGCGUAGCGAUACUAUACUAGGAAAUUCGGGAAAACACGAAAAUAUAACUAAUUAUGGAAAAAAUGCUAAUUUACCUACUAUAAAAAAACAAGAAACAAAUGUUGAAGAACGAUUGAUUAAAAAUCGUAGUGCAAGACGUAAGAUCUUUACAUAA